CCCAAGCCAGGAGCCUGUAAUUCAGUAGUUGUCGUUUUUUUAUGUGUUACAUAUUUGUUUUUCUUUCAUUUUUUGUACAUAAAUUAGGCAGUUAAGCCUCGGUCACACCUUACCGGAUGGCACUAACGGACGCCUAACGGAUGAAAAUAAAAGUUGUCCGUUGACAAAAUUGUUAUCCGUUGGGAGUCCGUUGAUGUACUGACCGAAUAAAACGGACGCUUAACGAAUGCAUAACGGACAUGCAACGGAUAUGCAACGUACGAGAAACGGAAACGUACCGGACAGAACGGAUGUCGAACGUACACCCAACGGACGAGUGCCGCAUAAAACGGAACACCUAACGGAAGCGUACCGGAUAAAGCAGAUGAGCAAGAUAUACGGAAAAAUUAAAGACGACAAUAAUAAUACAUGUAAAUCGCAUAAAUAUUCAAAA
Molecule: long non-coding RNA, 433 nt
Filed under: Mytilus galloprovincialis (Mediterranean mussel)
Lineage: Eukaryota; Metazoa; Mollusca; Bivalvia; Mytilida; Mytilidae
Source: RNAcentral